RNAcentral lists this ribosomal RNA (497 nucleotides) under uncultured bacterium. RNAcentral's name for it is "partial 16S ribosomal RNA". It matches the Rfam family "Bacterial small subunit ribosomal RNA", at positions 28 to 507 of the family's 1533-position model. The record is from RNAcentral.
GAUGAACGCUGGCGGCGUGCCUAAUACAUGCAAGUCGAGCGAACAGACGAGGAGCUUGCUCCUCUGACGUUAGCGGCGGACGGGUGAGUAACACGUGGAUAACCUACCUAUAAGACGGGGAUAACUUCGGGAAACCGGAGCUAAUACCGGAUAAUAUAUUGAACCGCAUGGUUCAAUAGUGAAAGACGGUUUUGCUGUAACUUAUAAAUGGAUCCGCGCCGCAUUAGCUAGUUGGUAAGGUAACGGCUUACCAAGGCAACGAUGCGUAGCCGACCUGAGAGGGUGAUCGGCCACACUGGAACUGAGACACGGUCCAGACUCCUACGGGAGGCAGCAGUAGGGAAUCUUCCGCAAUGGGGGAAAGCCUGACGGAGCAACGCCGCGUGAGUGAUGAAGGUUUUCGGAUCGUAAAACUCUGUUAUAAGGGAAGAACGAAUGUGUAAGUAAAUAGGCAAGUCUUGACGGUACCUAAUCAGAAAGCCAAGGGUAACUACGUG